This 420-nucleotide ribosomal RNA is filed under the name Pseudomonas sp. 35A(2010). RNAcentral's name for it is "bacterial SSU rRNA". It matches the Rfam family "Bacterial small subunit ribosomal RNA", at positions 272 to 684 of the family's 1533-position model. RNAcentral also lists the same sequence under 1 other name. Lineage: Bacteria; Pseudomonadati; Pseudomonadota; Gammaproteobacteria; Pseudomonadales; Pseudomonadaceae. The record is from RNAcentral.
GGCGACGAUCCGUAACUGGUCUGAGAGGAUGAUCAGUCACACUGGAACUGAGACACGGUCCAGACUCCUACGGGAGGCAGCAGUGGGGAAUAUUGGACAAUGGGCGAAAGCCUGAUCCAGCCAUGCCGCGUGUGUGAAGAAGGUCUUCGGAUUGUAAAGCACUUUAAGUUGGGAGGAAGGGCAGUAAGUUAAUACCUUGCUGUUUUGACGUUACCAACAGAAUAAGCACCGGCUAACUUCGUGCCAGCAGCCGCGGUAAUACGAAGGGUGCAAGCGUUAAUCGGAAUUACUGGGCGUAAAGCGCGCGUAGGUGGUUCAGCAAGUUGGAUGUGAAAUCCCCGGGCUCAACCUGGGAACUGCAUCCAAAACUACUGAGCUAGAGUACGGUAGAGGGUGGUGGAAUUUCCUGUGUAGCGGUGA